GUAAAAACCCGGCUUCAUCUGACUCCCUCUCUUUCAGAGGACCACCCCCUCCCCUAUCCUCUCUCCAUCUGACUGCGCCCAACUUCUCUCCCUCCAUCCUGCCGUACAGCUACACGGACUGCACCCAGCACGCACAAAACCUGAUUUUGAUGGGUUCGGGAUAUUUGCUUGACUCUUGUACUCUUUAUGGGUCUGGACUAUUUGUACUUUAAAGAGUGUUCUCUGGAAAGAGAAAGAGAGAGAGAGAAAUACCGCCUAUUCAGCUCGUGUGCAGAAGAAGGACGGUCCGACCUCCGCAUCCCUCGCAACAUCCCUCCGCUUCCUCCGCAUCCUCAGCAUCCCAUCCCUGGGAGGACCUCCAGAGAAGAGGACCGCGGACCAAGCUGCAAAUAAAGCCGGUUUACAUCGUUCUCUCACCGGGCACACAGAGCCUCAAGAGUCGGUGUGUUUAAUGGAGGUCUGGGCUGCCUUUUUAUUUAUUUAUUUUUAAACAUCAAACAAUAAGAACGUGCUCUGUAAUGGCAAAAGAAAUAGAUACCUGCGCCAUUUAUCCUGCACCCUGCCGCUGAAAGGCCUCCAGAAAUCCUUCAGAUGACACUUUUUGUGGAACUUCUGCCAAAUUAAGCCAAUGAAAUGACAAUACCAGUAGAGAUGACAUUAUUUCAAGUAUGCUAGAAGCCAAAGGAGGAGAUUGAAGCGAUUAAUAUUCAAAUGAUUUGGAUGGAUUUUGACAUAAUUUUUAGUCACAGGGCUAAAAUCUGCAAACUGUCCAUAUACACAGCGGAUAAACUGAUUGUCACUGAACCACUUCUAACACUGCACCCAUUUACAUCUCAGGGAAAAGAAAGAUAUGCACACACAGUCACAUUUACGCCUAUGCAUGGACCACUACAGGGUCCUCCUGAGCUGCCUCUCUGUGUGUGGACUGCAGGAGGAGACAAAGCACUGCAGAGGAGCAGAGCUGAGUAAAAAAACCUUGCCGUUAUUGUAACGAACCACUCUUUUGCUUUAACAAUAAUGUAUUAUAACGCUGUCAAUAGAUUGCAUUCACAAUAUCUAGUACAAUCAGCACCAAUAUCAUCAUAAAUGUUGCUGUCAGUGUAAUUUGAUCAGCUGUAUUCAAUUUGUAAGGCAGUUUUAGCAGCAUGCGGAGGCAUGAUAAAUAAUCAGUGCAGUCAUAGUCAAUAUAACCCAACGGUGACAAUAAAGCGUUCACUAUAUUGAUAUUUAAUACAUUUAUAGCCCACUGAGUGUCAUGGGAGAUUUACAAGCUCAAUAUAUUGAAAUUUGUUUAUCUGUUUAUAGAAAUACAUUAAAGAGGAACCCCCUCAGCGCUUGAUAACUUGGCAGCAAUUUUAUUUUCUGGAGUGCUGCUGUUGCAGAAAAACUACUGAGACAGAUAAGGACGGGAAUAAAGUGGAAGUGAUUCAGUCAAGCUGGACAGAGAAAGCUCUAGUAGGACAGAGCAGUGCUGGGGAAAAAAAGAAAAGAAAAACAGUGGUAAAAAUGGACUCACUGGAAACGUUAAAGCGAGGUGCACAAGACCACAGCUGCAUUGAAAAAAAAAGCAAUAAAUGUAUGAAAACUGUACAAAAUCACGAUGUUGUGAGUCAGAUGAGAACAAAGGGGAAUAAGAGAAAUAUGGGUUGUCACUCCUCGUGUUCACAGCGGACCUUGAUUUAAAUGUCCAUACAAUUAAGGCACGCGGUGAAUGCCAAGAGAGCAACCAAAUAUCAGCCAUUACAAACACUUAUUUGACUGUUCAUGUCAUGCAAAGAUGUAAAGAUGCAUUUCCAGUUUCCAGUUUCUCUAACAUGGCUGUCUUGAUGGUAGACUGGGUAAGACGCUGCAGUACCACCACGGACCACUAGUGCACACACACAUAUAUAUAUAUAUAUAUAUAUAUAUAUAUAUAUAUAUAUAUAUAUAUAAAUGACUUUUUUGUUCCUUUAUUAUUUUUUAUUAAAAAUUAUUAGAUAUAAGAUUGUCCUCAUAUUUUUCUUUCAUGCCGUUACAACCCUAUCCAUAUUUAAGAGUUAACUAUGACAGCGCCUUCUAGUGUCUGAAUUACAUGAGCUUAUAUUUAGUCUGUGUGUAGUAUUAUAGCACCAGUAUUAGGAGGAGGUUGGGGUGGAUGGAUAGGUCUACGGUUCUGCUUUUGUUCUCCGAAACCUGAAUCAAAAGAUUUGAAAUAAGUGCUUUUUGCCUUUAAUCUCAAUUGGAAAUCAGAGAAACUGGAGUAGAAAUAAGUAGAGAGUAAUAUUAAUUGAUUUUCCUAUCAAAUUAAAUGAUUAAAUACAGUUUAUCAUAAAGUGCUAUCAUUUCCAGGCUCUUGUAAGUGUCUAAUGCCACAUAUUGCAACUGUUUUCAAAAGUCAUAUUUGUAGCUAGCUGAGUUGUGCCAAUUGGGGUUAAAUAUCAGCAUACUCACAUGUGCCAAAUUUGGAGUAGUAUUAUAUGUGCAGAUUUGGCCCAGUUUAGACUGAGGAAAUGACAUUUAUUUCUACUGGCUGGCAGAAUUAGGACCAUUUCAACCAUGGGGAGCUGCAGGAAGGGACUAAUAUUUUGUAACUGAAUGCCAACCACCAGUGAGCAUUCAAAGAAUCAGUAUAUACAGAGAUUGGUCCAGAGAUUGUGCCCAAUUAAAUGCUCACUAAUAAUGAACUUCAAGAUCAAACUAGUCAGUAGUUUUAUUUACAAAGGCCUAAAUCCAACCAGAUCAUUUCUAUCCUCAACUUCAGGUAAAGGAAAAAUCCUCAAAAACUAAUUAAAUGAAUGAGAUAACGCUGAAAGACGCGAGAUAAACACUUAAAAUGUCUCGUUAACAUCAGCAGAACACAUCAGUUCAUUCUGCUUUCAUUACCAUCGCUGCUCUGUUGCGUCUCGCUUACAUCAGCCUCCUAAAUCCUAAGAAAUCCACUAUAAUUUGUAGUCUUUGAGACUUUGAAAGCUGUCUGACAUGCAGGUCUAGUUAAUGUCCUCACUGAAAGAUCUGAUUAAUUAUGUUCUAAAAUGAGAUUAGAUUUAAAUGAGAUUGGAAGCACUGAUUUGAAAAAAAUGGAAAAGGGUGUGAGCAGCCGGGUUAAUACCCACCACUAAUUAAUGCCCUGUGUUUACAGAUUAAAAUUCGAAAUGGAAUUAAAAGUAUGGACAAAGCGGGUCUGCUGGAGGCUUUAAUAAUGUAUGCUUCACUCACAUGCAUGUCUAUAACAUGUAGCAUGUAAUAUUAAUAAGAACCAAGUGCAGCUACGGUGUUCCUGUGCUUCCUGUUAAUUUCCUGUCAGCCUGUAUGAAUCCACCCUGGCAUGCUUUGCUUCAGUGCUGCAGGAUUGUGAUUAAAGUAACUGUGUUUCACAUGGGUCUCAUUUGUUAUGGUUCUGACAUGCAGACAAGGCCAAUAAAUACUAUACAAGAGGAUAAAGCCUUCUGAUAUUGGAUGGAAAACAGCAGCAGAGCAACUGCAAGUAAUGCAAAUAGGAAGAGAUUUUUAGGCUUAAAAUCUUUCAUAGAAAAAGGAUAUUUUUGGACUUCAGCACAAAAAAACGGACUCCCAGCACCUCCAGGCUUUGUUCCCAGUAUAAUUAAUGCUUGCUUGUAUAAUUAUUGCUGUCCAAUAAGCACUUUUUGCUCUGUGUGAAAUAAGAGAAUACAUUACAUGGAUGUAGGUGAAGAUUUUCUGAUUCACGGUAGAGACAAGGAUAGCAGCAGGACAGGAAGUCUCCCGAGUUAUCACUUACUAAUGCAUUGUCCCCAAACACAGAGUGUAUCGAUCAAGGAUGUAUAGUUCCUCUGCUGGGAACGGAGGUCGUACACUGGAUAUUUACUGUAUGCUGUUCUGAACAUGCACAGAGAGUGAAUUUAAUCACUCUGGUGCAUCUUAAUGUAUUUUCUUCAGACUGUGAAUUUUGCAAAUAAAUUGAUUUCAGCUUGUUAAAUUAUUUAAAGAACCACGUUUUUGUUUUUUUCUGUCCCAUACAGCUACUUUACUUAUACUGGAAAUUUGCUUAACUCUGGGCUUUUCUUAGAUGAGCUAAAAUAUCUGUAAAAAACAAACAAACAAACAAACAAAACCUUCUCCUUCUUCAGAAACUGCCAUGUACGUGGGAAAAUACGGACGCAUGGAUUGUGAGUGUUAUAUGAGCACAUAUUAGAUCUUGGGUUUGACAGCUGAAAGAUGAAACAGAUGAUUAAUGUACACGCACUGCAGAAAAAGACACCACGAUUGCAUUAUAGUUUAUCCUCUGGCUGAAUUCUUUUUAUCCCAGUAUUUUUUUUUCGCAUUUGAUUAAAUAAAAGUAACCAAAUCAAUGUGAUGCAGUUUCCCUCCACCCUUAUUCACAGCUUUUGCACUUUUCUGCUAUAGACGUGUUUUAUUUGUUGGCUGCGGUAUAAUUUUGCAAGAUUUAUAUACUCGGAUCAACUGUUCAAGCACUGUGGUUAAAUAAUCUCAAAGCAGUCAGUGUUAUGUGUCUGUGCGUGCUGUUUGUCUAUUGUAUGUUCUCAGGGACAUAAUGAUACCCAAGAGUGUCUUAUGAAGAUGCUAAACAAUAAAAUACAAUUUAAAAAAUGACCUUGUUUUUGUCUUUAUUCUUUUUGUUUCAUUUUUUAUAUAUUUAAUGAGAACCUACCUUAACUUCUGUCACACAGUUUUAGUUGUGGAUCUCCAUAUUAAAUGGCAAAAUCUUCAUAUAAUGAUGUAGGGACUUCCUGUGAGCCAAAAGCUCAGGCUUCAAACUCCUCUAAAUGCUCUGUUGAUUUUAUUUUAUUAUUUGAGAACAGUGAGACGCCCU
Molecule: long non-coding RNA, 4789 nt
Organism: Astatotilapia calliptera (eastern happy)
Lineage: Eukaryota; Metazoa; Chordata; Actinopteri; Cichliformes; Cichlidae
Source: Ensembl